GUUUGAUCAUGGCUCAGAUUGAACGCUGGCGGCAGGCCUAACACAUGCAAGUCGAGCGGUAGCACAGGGAGCUUGCUCCUGGGUGACGAGCGGCGGACGGGUGAGUAAUGUCUGGGAAACUGCCUGAUGGAGGGGGAUAACUACUGGAAACGGUAGCUAAUACCGCAUAACGUCGCAAGACCAAAGAGGGGGACCUUCGGGCCUCUUGCCAUCAGAUGUGCCCAGAUGGGAUUAGCUAGUAGGUGGGGUAAUGGCUCACCUAGGCGACGAUCCCUAGCUGGUCUGAGAGGAUGACCAGCCACACUGGAACUGAGACACGGUCCAGACUCCUACGGGAGGUAGCAGUGGGGAAUAUUGCACAAUGGGCGCAAGCCUGAUGCAGCCAUGCCGCGUGUAUGAAGAAGGCCUUCGGGUUGUAAAGUACUUUCAGCGAGGAGGAAGGCAUUGUGGUUAAUAACCACAGUGAUUGACGUUACUCGCAGAAGAAGCACCGGCUAACUCCGUGCCAGCAGCCGCGGUAAUACGGAGGGUGCAAGCCUUAAUCCGGAAUUACUGGGGCCUUUAA
Molecule: ribosomal RNA, 565 nt
Filed under: uncultured bacterium
Lineage: Bacteria
Description: bacterial SSU rRNA
Rfam family: Bacterial small subunit ribosomal RNA
Source: RNAcentral